GACGAACGCUGGCGGCGUGGAUAAGACAUGCAAGUCGGACGCUGAUUAGAGGGUAGCAAUAUUCUCUAGUUGGAGUGGCGCAAGGGUGCGUAACACGUGGGCAAUCUGCCGUGAAGCCUGGGAUAACUCGCUGAAAGGCGAGCUAAUACCGGAUGAGAAUGUUGGGAGGCAUCUCCUGAUAUUGGAAGCUGGGGACCGCAAGGCCUGGCACUUCACGAUGAGCCCGCGGCCUAUCAGCUAGUUGGUGGGGUAACGGCUCACCAAGGCGAAGACGGGUAGCUGGUCUGAGAGGACGACCAGCCACACUGGAUCUGAGACACGGUCCAGACACCUACGGGUGGCAGCAGUCGAGAAUUUUUCACAAUGGCGCAAGCCUGAUGGAGCGACGCCGCGUGGGGGAUGAAGGGUUUCGAUCCGUAAACCCCUGUCAUUUGCGAACAAACCUUGAGUGCUAACAUCAUUCAAG
RNAcentral lists this ribosomal RNA (466 nucleotides) under uncultured bacterium. RNAcentral's name for it is "bacterial SSU rRNA". It matches the Rfam family "Bacterial small subunit ribosomal RNA", at positions 28 to 473 of the family's 1533-position model. The record is from RNAcentral.